UCCGCUUCUUGGCCUUUUGGCUAAGAUUAAGUGUAGUAUCUGUUCUUAUCGGUUUAAUACCUGAUACGUCCUCAAUCUGAGGACCUUAUAUUAAAUGUAUUUUUGGGAUAGGGAGAUGGUAUAGGAGCUUGCUCCAUCCACUCCACGCAUCAUCCCGGUAUUGCAGUACCUUUGGGAAUGGUGCACACACA
Myotis lucifugus (little brown bat) is the source of this 191-nucleotide small nuclear RNA. Its record names the gene U2. It matches the Rfam family "U2 spliceosomal RNA". Rfam says of the family: U2 is a small nuclear RNA (snRNA) component of the spliceosome (involved in pre-mRNA splicing). Lineage: Eukaryota; Metazoa; Chordata; Mammalia; Chiroptera; Vespertilionidae. The record is from Ensembl.